RNAcentral lists this ribosomal RNA (274 nucleotides) under uncultured bacterium. Its description in RNAcentral is "partial 16S ribosomal RNA". It matches the Rfam family "Bacterial small subunit ribosomal RNA", at positions 523 to 796 of the family's 1533-position model. The record is from RNAcentral.
AUACGAAAGGUGCAAGCGUUGUUCGGAUUUACUGGGCGUAAAGAGAUCGUAGGUGGUUUGUUAAGUCGGAUGUGAAAUCCCGGGGCUCAACCCCGGAACUGCAUUCGAUACUGGCAGACUAGAGUUUGGGAGGGGUAAGCGGAAUUCCGUGUGUAGCAGUGAAAUGCGUAGAUAUACGGAGGAACACCUGAGGCGAAGGCGGCCUACUGGACCAAUACUGACACUGAGGAUCGAAAGCGUGGGUAGCAAACAGGAUUAGAAACCCCAGUAGUCC